RNAcentral lists this ribosomal RNA (343 nucleotides) under uncultured bacterium. RNAcentral's name for it is "bacterial SSU rRNA". It matches the Rfam family "Bacterial small subunit ribosomal RNA", at positions 43 to 367 of the family's 1533-position model. The record is from RNAcentral.
GGCCGCGGGAAUUCGAUUCAGGCCUAACACAUGCAAGUCGAACGAUGAAGCAAGAGCUUGCUCCGGUGGAUUAGUGGCGAACGGGUGAGUAACACGUGAGCAAUCUGCCCUUGACUCUGGGAUAACUGCGGGAAACUGUAGCUAAUACCGGAUACGAGACUUAGAGGCAUCUCUGAGUCUGGAAAGAAUUUCGGUCAGGGAUGAGCUCGCGGCCUAUCGGCUAGUUGGUGAGGUAAUGGCUCACCAAGGCGACGACGGGUAGCCGGCCUGAGAGGGUGACCGGCCACACUGGGACUGAGACACGGCCCAGACUCCUACGGGAGGCAGCAGUGGGGAAUAUUGC